RNAcentral lists this ribosomal RNA (253 nucleotides) under uncultured bacterium. RNAcentral describes it as "partial 16S ribosomal RNA". It matches the Rfam family "Bacterial small subunit ribosomal RNA", at positions 524 to 776 of the family's 1533-position model. The record is from RNAcentral.
UACAGAGGUCCCAAGCGUUGUUCGGAUUCACUGGGCGUAAAGGGUGCGUAGGUGGUUGGGUAAGUCUGAUGUGAAAUCUCCGAGCUUAACUCGGAAAUGGCAUUGGAUACUAUUCGGCUAGAGGGUUUGAGGGGGGACUGGAAUACUUGGUGUAGCAGUGAAAUGCGUAGAUAUCAAGUGGAACACCAGUGGCGAAGGCGGCUCACUGGCCCGUUACUGACGCUGAGGCACGAAAGCGUGGGGAGCAAACAGG